GAUGAACGCUGGCGGCGUGCCUAAUACAUGCAAGUCGAGCGAACAGAUGAGGAGCUUGCUCCUCUGACGUUAGCGGCGGACGGGUGAGUAACACGUGGAUAACCUACCUAUAAGACUGGGAUAACUUCGGGAAACCGGAGCUAAUACCGGAUAAUAUAUUGAACCGCAUGGUUCAAUAGUGAAAGACGGUUUUGCUGUCACUUAUAGAUGGAUCCGCGCCGCAUUAGCUAGUUGGUAAGGUAACGGCUUACCAAGGCAACGAUGCGUAGCCGACCUGAGAGGGUGAUCGGCCACACUGGAACUGAGACACGGGCCAGACUCCUACGGGAGGCAGCAGUAGGGAAUCUUCCGCAAUGGGCGAAAGCCUGACGGAGCAACGCCGCGUGAGUGAUGAAGGUCUUCGGAUCGUAAAACUCUGUUAUUAGGGAAGAACAAAUGUGUAAGUAACGAUGCACGUCUGGACGGUACCUAAUCAGAAAGCCACGGCUAACUACGU
RNAcentral lists this ribosomal RNA (496 nucleotides) under uncultured bacterium. RNAcentral's name for it is "partial 16S ribosomal RNA". It matches the Rfam family "Bacterial small subunit ribosomal RNA", at positions 28 to 506 of the family's 1533-position model. The record is from RNAcentral.